Non-coding RNA from Hordeum vulgare subsp. vulgare (domesticated barley), 136 nucleotides. NCBI's taxonomy places the organism in Eukaryota, Viridiplantae, Streptophyta, Magnoliopsida, Poales, Poaceae. The record is from Rfam.
AUAAUACACCCUCUGUCCCAAAAUUCGUGUCUUAGUUUUAUCUAGAAAUGGAUGUACUUAAAUACUAAUACAUGACUAAAUACAUUCAUAUCUAGACAAAUCAAACACAAUAAUUUUGUGACGGAGGAAGUAUUAA